UGGGGAAUUUUGGACAAUGGGCGAAAGCCUGAUCCAGCAAUGCCGCGUGUGUGAAGAAGGCCUUCGGGUUGUAAAGCACUUUUGUCCGGAAAGAAAUCCUUGGCUCUAAUACAGUCGGGGGAUGACGGUACCGGAAGAAUAAGCACCGGCUAACUACGUGCCAGCAGCCGCGGUAAUACGUAGGGUGCAAGCGUUAAUCGGAAUUACUGGGCGUAAAGCGUGCGCAGGCGGUUUGCUAAGACCGAUGUGAAAUCCCCGGGCUCAACCUGGGAACUGCAUUGGUGACUGGCAGGCUAGAGUAUGGCAGAGGGGGGUAGAAUUCCACGUGUAGCAGCGAAAUGCGUAGAGAUGUGGAGGAAUACCGAUGGCGAAGGCAGCCCCUGGGCCAAUACUGACGCUCAUGCACGAAAGCGUGGGGAGCAAACAGGAUUAGAUACCCUGGUAGUCCACGCCCUAAAACGAUGUCAACUAGUUGUUGGGGAUUCAUUUCCUUAGUAACGUAGCUAACGCGUGAAGUUGACCGCCUGGGGAGUACGAUCGCAAGAUUAAAACUUAAAGGAAUUGACGGGGUCAUAGCUGUUUCCU
Molecule: ribosomal RNA, 585 nt
Filed under: uncultured bacterium
Lineage: Bacteria
Description: partial 16S ribosomal RNA
Rfam family: Bacterial small subunit ribosomal RNA
Source: RNAcentral